AUUGAACGCUGGCGGAAUGCUUUACACAUGCAAGUCGAGCGGCAGCACGGGGGUAACCCUGGUGGCGAGCGGCGAACGGGUGAGUAAUACAUCGGAACAUGCCCAGUCGUGGGGGAUAACACUUCGAAAGAAGUGCUAAUACCGCAUACGUCCCGAGGGAGAAAGCGGGGGAUCGCAAGACCUCGCGCGAUUGGAGUGGCCGAUGUCAGAUUAGCUAGUUGGUGGGGUAAAGGCCUACCAAGGCAACGAUCUGUAGCUGGUCUGAGAGGAUGAUCAGCCACACUGGGACUGAGACACGGCCCAGACUCCUACGGGAGGCAGCAGUGGGGAAUUUUGGACAAUGGGGGCAACCCUGAUCCAGCCAUUCCGCGUGAGUGAAGAAGGCCUUCGGGUUGUAAAGCUCUUUCGGCAGGAACGAAACGGUGAGCUCUAACAUAGCUUGCUAAUGACGGUACCUGAAGAAGAAGCACCGGCUAACUACGUG
This 484-nucleotide ribosomal RNA is filed under the name uncultured bacterium. Its description in RNAcentral is "partial 16S ribosomal RNA". It matches the Rfam family "Bacterial small subunit ribosomal RNA", at positions 30 to 507 of the family's 1533-position model. The record is from RNAcentral.